ACUUCAGAUUUAAUCUGAAGAAGAGAUCUAAUUGAAAGCAUCAAAAUUUAGAUUUAAUCUAAAUUUUAGAUCUUAAGAACAUGAUUCAUGUAACCUAGCUCUGAUACCAGUUGAAAAAAAAUAUAGGGUAUGCAUGCUAGAUCAAUAAUUUUUUUUUGAUGCAGUGGAAGAAAAACUAAUCUAGCAUGCAUCUACGAGAUCUCAUCUCAUGGGACCAUAUCUAGCAUGUUCUUAAGAUCCAAAGCAAAAAGUAAAUCUAUCAAAGAUAUAAACAUGAAGAUCUUAUCAUCACUUUAGUGCAGAUAGUUAUUCACUGUGAUUUGAUGAUCAUGGAUAUCUCU
This 341-nucleotide long non-coding RNA is filed under the name Elaeis guineensis (African oil palm). RNAcentral describes it as "long non-coding RNA (EGUI_LNC046693)". The record is from RNAcentral. Lineage: Eukaryota; Viridiplantae; Streptophyta; Magnoliopsida; Arecales; Arecaceae.